AAUUACCAUAAAUAUAUCCAGGGUGCCCUGAUACACUUGGCAUAACUGAAAAGGAACCUGCAUUUCAGUCGGAAGUCAAUGCUCCCUUUAUUUCUUUAAAUUUCAUUUCAGAUGCGUUCCUCAGCUGACCCUUCACAAGGCCCCGCCUUUACCAUUUCUGAGGAUCUGACCCUGGAACCGCAGGACCUGGUCCCGCCCCCUGGUCUGCACCGCCCCUGCUCUCUUCCCCCUCCCUCCCACUCUCCCUCCUUUCUCUCACCAGUAUCUGCUGGCACCACCUGGAAGCAGCAGCUCAGACCCUCUCCUGACCUCUGCCACUCACCCAGGUGGUCUCCUCCCAGCAGGUGCAGCCACUAUGUCACCCUGGGCUUCUGUCCACCUGCCAGGACUUGGAGCCAAGCUGGGUCUCCUUGCAAUCCUGUGCGCCCUCCUGUUUCCCGAUGCUGGAAUGAAAUCCUCUGAAGCGUAUUACACACAGUGAUGCACACAGCUGUGAUUGCAUUCAGCAAAUGUGGUCUGGCACCUUUACUGCCUGAAAACAUGAUCUGCAUCCUUCCGUGUAAGGUUGCUAGAAAUUGGCUUCACGUGAUCUUCACCAGGAGACUGAGAAGAUAGACUUUCACUUAAGACUUUGUGUAUCCCUGUCUUUGCGGGCACUGAUGUCCCUCCUGGUCAAAGGACAGGAGUGGGUGCUGAGGGGCAUAAAGGGUGGACUUCGUUGAAUGCCUUCUGUAUUCCCCUUAGAAUUGAUUUUCCUCAUUUCUUUACCCUGCUCUGUGCUCUAGGAGGCUAACGCCCACGGACUGCACUAAUGGACAUCUUUGUUGUGACUUCCACUGAAUGUCGGCCAGUGAGAGUUGAAGUUCAAAGGAACCAUGACCUCAUCAUUUGACAACAAUUUCCAUUCCUUGGGCACUAGACUUCCAAACCUGUGGAUCCAGGGCCCUGGGAGAAAAGAAACAGAUUCUUCUAGUGGGUUAAUUGGUAUAAAAAGGAAUGGCCACUCCCACCUACACCUCUUGGGUCCCGAGCACAAAUUCUGUCUCUGGGGUAGAAGGCCCUAUAUGUUGGCCCCAGGGGAGGAUGCAGCCAACCCAAGGCCACCUGUCAGGAGGGAACCCUGAGCUCACUCUGCUCCCAACUCCCAGCCUCCUCCUGAUGCUUCCACUGACUGCUUCCAAAUAGCAACCAGAGAAUAAGGAAACCCAUCCAUGCGGUCCAUGAGGGUCCACCUCGUAAUGCCCAGAAUGAGGUAAAGAAAGAUGGACAGUCCAUCUGGAGGAGCAAAAGGAAGAAAUCAAGCAGAUGGUCACUUAAGUGGGUUAUGUUUUCCACCAAAUAAGUAAAAUAAGCUGAGGAAUAGGAGGCCACUUUGAAUUUGCUUAAUGUUUGUUAACUUUACAAGAAUAUACAUCGG
RNAcentral lists this long non-coding RNA (1417 nucleotides) under Panthera leo (lion). RNAcentral's name for it is "lncRNA (ENSPLOG00000014056.1)". Lineage: Eukaryota; Metazoa; Chordata; Mammalia; Carnivora; Felidae. The record is from RNAcentral.